ACAGUUGUUAAAGUACAAGCGCCUGAAGAUGAGCCUGCGGUCCAUUAGCUAGUUGGUAGAGUAACAGCCUACCAAGGCAACGAUGGAUAGCUGGUCUGAGAGGAUGAUCAGCCACACUGGAACUGAGACACGGUCCAGACUCCUACGGGAGGCAGCAGUAAGGAAUAUUGCUCAAUGGCCGAAAGGCUGAAGCAGCAACGCCGCGUGAAGGAUGAAUGGCCUUUGGCCUGUAAACUUCUGUAAAAGGGAAAACAAUCAGGCAUGUCCUGAUUUGAUUGUACCUUUGAAGUAAGCCCCGGCUAACUACGUG
Molecule: ribosomal RNA, 310 nt
Filed under: uncultured bacterium
Lineage: Bacteria
Description: bacterial SSU rRNA
Rfam family: Bacterial small subunit ribosomal RNA
Source: RNAcentral